Molecule: ribosomal RNA, 253 nt
Filed under: uncultured bacterium
Lineage: Bacteria
Description: partial 16S ribosomal RNA
Rfam family: Bacterial small subunit ribosomal RNA
Source: RNAcentral
GACGAACCGAGCGAACGUUAUUCGGAAUCACUGGGCGUAAAGGGUGCGUAGGCGGGUCUUUAAGUCAGGGGUGAAAUCCUGGAGCUCAACUCCAGAACUGCCUUUGAUACUGAAGAUCUUGAGUUCGGGAGAGGUGAGUGGAACUGCGAGUGUAGAGGUGAAAUUCGUAGAUAUUCGCAAGAACACCAGUGGCGAAGGCGGCUCACUGGCCCGAUACUGACGCUGAGGCACGAAAGCGUGGGGAGCAAACAGG